Molecule: ribosomal RNA, 1147 nt
Filed under: human gut metagenome
Description: bacterial LSU rRNA
Rfam family: Bacterial large subunit ribosomal RNA
Source: RNAcentral
AGGAGCGGUGGACUGAUUACGAGUGAGAAUGUUGGCAUUAGUAGCGAGAUGUAGGUGAGAAUCCUACAGGCCGAAUAUCUAAGGUUUCCUCAGGAAGGCUCGUCCGCUGAGGGUUAGUCGGGACCUAAGCCGAGGCCGAAAGGCGUAGGCGAUGGACAACAGGUUGAUAUUCCUGUACCACUACCAUCGUUAUUAUCGAGGGUGUGACGGAGAAGGAUAGUGUGUGCUAGCGAUUGGAAAUGCUAGUCUAAGCGUUUAGGCAGUUACGGUAGGCAAAUCCGCUGUAAUGUUAAUGCUGAGGCGUGAUGGGGAAGGCCCUUGAGGCUGAAGUACAUGAUUCCAUGCUUCCAAGAAAAGCAUCUAGAGAGAGAAGUAGUGCCCGUACCGCAAACCGACACAGGUAGAUGAGGAGAGAAUCCUAAGGCCGGCGGAAGAAUUGCAGUUAAGGAACUAGGCAAAUUGACCCCGUAAGUUAGCGAGAAGGGGUGCCUACGAGAGUAGGCCGCAGAGAAUAGGCCCAAGCAACUGUUUAGCAAAAACACAGGUCUCUGCUAAAGCGCAAGCUGAUGUAUAGGGGCUGACGCCUGCCCGGUGCUGGAAGGUUAAGGGGAACACUUAGCGCAAGCGAAGGUGUGAACUUAAGCCCCAGUAAACGGCGGCCGUAACUAUAACGGUCCUAAGGUAGCGAAAUUCCUUGUCAGGUAAGUUCUGACCCGCACGAAAGGCGUAAUGAUUUGGGCACUGUCUCGACAGCGCACCCGGUGAAAUUGUAGUACCAGUGAAGAUGCUGGUUACCCGCGACAGGACGGAAAGACCCCGUGGAGCUUUACUGUAACUUGAUACUGAGGUUGGGUAUUACAUGUACAGGAUAGGAGGGAGGCUAAGAAGCCAGGACGCCAGUCUUGGUGGAGCCACCGGUGGGAUACCUCUCUUGUAAUACUUAACUUCUAACCAGAGCCCGUUACCCGGGUUUGGGACAAUGUCAGGUGGACAGUUUGACUGGGGCGGUCGCCUCCGAAAGAGUAACGGAGGCGCUCAAAGGUAACCUCAGAAUGGUCGGAAACCAUUCGAAGAGUGCAAAGGCAGAAGGUUGCUUGACUGCGACACCGACGGGUGGAGCAGGUACGAAAGUAGGACUUAGUGAUCC